GGCGAACGGGUGAGUAACACGUGAGUAACCUGCCCUUGACUCUGGGAUAAGCCUGGGAAACUGGGUCUAAUACUGGAUAUGACUUCUCACCGCAGGGUGGGGGGUGGAAAGAUUUAUUGGUCUUGGAUGGACUCGCGGCCUAUCAGCUUGUUGGUGAGGUAAUGGCUCACCAAGGCGACGACGGGUAGCCGGCCUGAGAGGGUGACCGGCCACACUGGGACUGAGACACGGCCCAGACUCCUACGGGAGGCAGCAGUGGGGAAUAUUGCACAAUGGGCGCAAGCCUGAUGCAGCGACGCCGCGUGAGGGAUGACGGCCUUCGGGUUGUAAACCUCUUUCAGUAGGGAAGAAGCGAAAGUGACGGUACCUGCAGAAGAAGCGCCGGCUAACUACGUGCCAGCAGCCGCGGUAAUACGUAGGGCGCGAGCGUUAUCCGGAAUUAUUGGGCGUAAAGAGCUCGUAGGCGGUUUGUCGCGUCUGCCGUGAAAGUCCGGGGCUUAACCCCGGAUCUGCGGUGGGUACGGGCAGACUAGAGUGCAGUAGGGGAGACUGGAAUUCCUGGUGUAGCGGUGAAAUGCGCAGAUAUCAGGAGGAACACCGAUGGCGAAGGCAGGUCUCUGGGCUGUAACUGACGCUGAGGAGCGAAAGCAUGGGGAGCGAACAGGAUUAGAUACCCUGGUAGUCCAUGCCGUAAACGUUGGGCACUAGGUGUGGGGGACAUUCCACGUUUUCCGCGCCGUAGCUAACGCAUUAAGUGCCCCGCCUGGGGAGUACGGCCGCAAGGCUAAAACUCAAAGGAAUUGACGGGGGCCCGCACAAGCGGCGGAGCAUGCGGAUUAAUUCGAUGCAACGCGAAGAACCUUACCAAGGCUUGACAUGUUCCUGACCGCCGUAGAGAUACGGUUUCCCCUUUGGGGCAGGUUCACAGGUGGUGCAUGGUUGUCGUCAGCUCGUGUCGUGAGAUGUUGGGUUAAGUCCCGCAACGAGCGCAACCCUCGUUCCAUGUUGCCAGCACGUAGUGGUGGGGACUCAUGGGAGACUGCCGGGGUCAACUCGGAGGAAGGUGGGGACGACGUCAAAUCAUCAUGCCCCUUAUGUCUUGGGCUUCACGCAUGCUACAAUGGCCGGUACAAUGGGUUGCGAUACUGUGAGGUGGAGCUAAUCCCAAAAAGCCGGUCUCAGUUCGGAUUGGGGUCUGCAACUCGACCCCAUGAAGUCGGAGUCGCUAGUAAUCGCAGAUCAGCAACGCUGCGGUGAAUACGUUCCCGGGCCUUGUACACACCGCCCGUCAAGUCACGAAAGU
This 1303-nucleotide ribosomal RNA is filed under the name Micrococcus sp. RNAcentral describes it as "bacterial SSU rRNA". It matches the Rfam family "Bacterial small subunit ribosomal RNA", at positions 97 to 1411 of the family's 1533-position model. The record is from RNAcentral. Lineage: Bacteria; Bacillati; Actinomycetota; Actinomycetes; Micrococcales; Micrococcaceae.